GUCUACGUGACAAGAGAUGGACGAAAACGGUGACCACAUGGGCGGGUCCACAGGGAAAAAGAAAGAGAGGUAGACCUGUAGCUAGUUGGGAAGAUGACAUCAAAAAAACAGCUGGCCCCAACUGGAUUCAAGUAGCCCAAUCUAGAGAGGAGUGGCUAUCUUUGGAGGAGGCCUUCACCUACAGAGGAGUUCUUACAGAAUGAAGAAUAAUAAUAUAGGAUUAAGGAAAAACUAACACAAGUAAAUUUUAGGAACCAAAGUUAAUUACUAACAAAACUAAUAAUUGUAUGUAGGUAAACUAACAUAAUCUAAUAUAACUUCAUGUUUUAUAAGCUGUAAGAAAUAAAAGGCUUUUUUAU
Long non-coding RNA from Leptidea sinapis, 359 nucleotides. RefSeq lists it as uncharacterized. NCBI's taxonomy places the organism in Eukaryota, Metazoa, Arthropoda, Insecta, Lepidoptera, Pieridae. The transcript has 2 exons. The record is from RefSeq and is a predicted model, not a curated record.